CAUUACAGAGAAUUGAAAUAAUUCGGAGAGCGGGGAUAUAUUACGUGGGGGGGAAGAGUGGGGUGAAUGAACCUGCCUGCGCUUAGUUGCGCGGCUCUCUUUCCUCCUCCUGCCCCGCCUUUGAUUUAUACACACAGUGGAGUUUCUGCUUUUCUUUAUUUUGAUGGCUUUGGGGGGUGUGUGAGCCCCCCAGAGGUAAACAACACAAACAAGUUUUUUUUUUUAUUCUAUAUAUGCACUAGUCAAGAAACAAGAAUUCGGAGAAAAAACGAAUUAACGAAUAUUCAAAACUUUCAACAACGGAUCUCUUGGUUCUCGCAUCGAUGAAGAACGCAGCGAACUGCGAUACGUAAUGUGAAUUGCAGAAUUCCGUGAAUCAUCGAAUCUUUGAACGCACAUUGCGCCCCUUGGUAUUCCAGGGGGCAUGCCUGUUUGAGCGUCAUUUCCCUCUCAAACGCUUGCGUUUGGUAGUGAGCGAUACUCUUUUUGUGUGUAUCUCUGAGGAGUUUGCUUGAAAGUGGGAGGCCAUAGGCGGAGCCUAGCUUGAGCGUGUGGUGGAGGAACUGUGCCGAGAGGUGCAGGGCCGCGCUGCAACGCCUGGCCACGAAAACGAAGUCGUAUUAGGUUUUACCGACUCGGCGAAGGAAGUAGUGGACGGGGGGAAAAGAGCGGAGCUCUCUUUUUUGUUUUGUUUGUUGAUGAUACGACGAGCAAGAGCAGCAGAGCCUGGCUUGAGAGAAUUCACAAAGUUUGACCUCAAAUCAGGUAGGAUUACCCGCUGAACU
Molecule: unclassified non-coding RNA, 785 nt
Filed under: Zygosaccharomyces mellis
Lineage: Eukaryota; Fungi; Ascomycota; Saccharomycetes; Saccharomycetales; Saccharomycetaceae
Description: sequence contains ITS1, 5.8S rRNA gene and ITS2
Rfam family: 5.8S ribosomal RNA (bases 289-442)
Source: RNAcentral